RNAcentral lists this ribosomal RNA (505 nucleotides) under uncultured bacterium. RNAcentral's name for it is "partial 16S ribosomal RNA". It matches the Rfam family "Bacterial small subunit ribosomal RNA", at positions 28 to 507 of the family's 1533-position model. The record is from RNAcentral.
GACGAACGCUGGCGGCGUGCCUAAUACAUGCAAGUAGAACGCACAGUUUAUACCGUAGCUUGCUACACCAUAGACUGUGAGUUGCGAACGGGUGAGUAACGCGUAGGUAACCUGCCUGGUAGCGGGGGAUAACUAUUGGAAACGAUAGCUAAUACCGCAUAAUAUUAAUUAUUGCAUGAUAAUUAAUUGAAAGGUGCAAUUGCACCACUACCAGAUGGACCUGCGUUGUAUUAGCUAGUAGGUGAGGUAACGGCUCACCUAGGCGACGAUACAUAGCCGACCUGGUAGAGUGAUCGGCCACACUGGGACUGAGACCCGGCCCAGACUCCUUCGGGAGGCAGCAGUAGGGAAUCGUCGGCAAUGGACGAGAGUCUGACCGAGCAACGCCGCGGGAGUGAAGAAGGGUUUCGGAUCGUAAAGCUCGGUUGUAAGAGAAGAACGGGUGUGAGAGUGGAAAGUUCACACUGCGACGGUAUCUUACCAGAAAGGGACGGCUAACUACGUG